This 67-nucleotide transfer RNA is filed under the name Geckolepis petiti. Its description in RNAcentral is "tRNA-Gly". The record is from RNAcentral. Lineage: Eukaryota; Metazoa; Chordata; Lepidosauria; Squamata; Gekkonidae.
ACUCCCUUAGUAUAUAGUACAAGUGAUUUCCACUCACUAAGUCUUAGAUUAACCCUAAGAGAGAGUA